ACUGACUGGGUCACCGGUGAAGUUCUCCGCAGGAACUGAGUCAGACCCCAUCUCAGGGCCCUGCACAAAAUAGGUGCCUGCUCUAAGGCGUGGACCCUCGCGACAGCCCUGGCCCGUCUUGACGGGCGACGGUUACUGUACUUGUCCCAACCGUACAGAUGAGAAAGCUGAGACUCAGGGCGAGCAACCCCGGUCCCAGCGGAGCGCCCGGCACGCGCCGACAAUUCAGCACCAGCAGCGGUGGCCACCACUGUGCGCGGAGAUGGCUGCGACGCGUGCGCAGAUCUCGAUCCCAAACUCCCUCCUGCCAGAAUCUGGACCCGAAUCCACGCAUUGCCCAUUUUCCUCUGCCGCUGGAGAGAAUCUCUGAGGUCCCCAGGACAGCCUGCCUGCACGGAAGAGAUGCCCCCUCAAUUAAAUGCUGUUUUCCAUGACUGUCUCUGUUCUUCCCAUAGGCGAAUGGCAGGCAUCCAGAUCUCCAAGAACAGAGGAUUAGGAGAGACUCCACCACCUAUAUCCUCACAGUUAAUUAUCGAUUUGUGUCAGUUGCCCAUUUUCUCACUUCCUGUUUGUGUGUCAAGGAGUAUUAAUAAAUCUUUGCCUAUUUAAAGAUAUUAGCCUUUGAUUUUCAAGUAUUGCAUAUUUUGACAUGUAAAAAUUUGUUAGUUUUAUUUUUUCAACAGAUCUGACCUAUAUAGUUGGGCUUGAGGAAGCUUCCUCAUUCUACAUGUUACUAUGGAUUUUCUAAUAUUAACACAGAGUUGUAUUUUUUCCAUAUAACUUUCUAUUGAAUUUCUUUUUCCAUAUGAUAGGUGGUGAAGGUUUAGCCCAGUAAAGCAGAGAGGUUAAGAAGUUAGAAUGGGGGCUCUGGAUCCAGACCUGUGUAGAUCUGAGUCCUGGCUCUGGCACUUGAAAGCCGUGUGACCUUGGUUAAGAUACUUAGCCCCUCUCUGCUAAAUGGAGAAAUAAGGGCACCUACCCCAUAGGGUAGUUGUGUGAUUACACAAGUUAAUACACUUCAAUCACUAGCAAGAAAGUGAAUGUCAAGCUGUAUUUGUUCAGGCAGCCAUAUGGUAGCCCCACCUCAUUAGUAAACUGAGGUAUUGAAGUAUCUUCUUUUUCUUUCAGAAAAUAUUUGUCAAGCACCUUCUGUGUUCUAAGAACUGUUCUAGAGCUUUGCAUGCUAUGGAGGUCUAGAAAUUCACAUUAUGGUGGCAGGUGACAGACAAUACAAAGAGAUAAAGCAAUUUCAUAUAGUGAUAAGCUAGGGAGGAGUGCUAAAAGGAGCCAAGGUGUAGUGGUGACUGGAAGGUGACCAGAGAAACCGCUGUAGGGUUUCUAAGUGAUGAGAUCUGUGACAAAUCCCUGUGGUCAGCAGCGGGCAUUGGAUAUGUAACUUUAUUCUGUCCCAUUGAUCUUGUAGUCAACCCUGGUCUGUUCUGUAUUGUUUUAAUUACAUAAUCUUUGUAAUAAUCUUUAA
Molecule: long non-coding RNA, 1480 nt
Filed under: Pongo abelii (Sumatran orangutan)
Lineage: Eukaryota; Metazoa; Chordata; Mammalia; Primates; Hominidae
Description: lincRNA
Source: RNAcentral